Molecule: ribosomal RNA, 497 nt
Filed under: uncultured bacterium
Lineage: Bacteria
Description: partial 16S ribosomal RNA
Rfam family: Bacterial small subunit ribosomal RNA
Source: RNAcentral
GAUGAACGCUGGCGGCGUGCCUAAUACAUGCAAGUCGAGCGAACGGACGAGAGGCUUGCUUCUCUGAUGUUAGCGGCGGACGGGUGAGUAACACGUGGAUAACCUACCUAUAAGACUGGGAUAACUUCGGGAAACCGGAGCUAAUACCGGAUAAUAUUUUGAACCGCAUGGUUCAAAAGUGAAAGACGGUCUUGCUGUCACUUAUAGAUGGAUCCGCGCUGCAUUAGCUAGUUGGUAAGGUAACGGCUUACCAAGGCAACGAUGCAUAGCCGACCUGAGAGGGUGAUCGGCCACCCUGGAACUGAGACACGGUCCAGACUCCUACGGGAGGCAGCAGUAGGGAAUCUUCCGCAAUGGGCGAAAGCCUGACGGAGCAACGCCGCGUGAGUGAUGAAGGUCUUCGGAUCGUAAAACUCUGUUAUUAGGGAAGAACAGAUGUGUAAGUAACUGUGCACAUCUUGACGGUACCUAAUCAGAAAGCCACGGCUAACUACGUG